Molecule: ribosomal RNA, 422 nt
Filed under: uncultured Flavobacterium sp.
Lineage: Bacteria; Pseudomonadati; Bacteroidota; Flavobacteriia; Flavobacteriales; Flavobacteriaceae
Description: bacterial SSU rRNA
Rfam family: Bacterial small subunit ribosomal RNA
Source: RNAcentral
UGAGGAAUAUUGGACAAUGGGCGCAAGCCUGAUCCAGCCAUGCCGCGUGCAGGAUGACGGUCCUAUGGAUUGUAAACUGCUUUUGCACAGGAAGAAACAUCCCGACGUGUCGGGACUUGACGGUACUGUGAGAAUAAGGAUCGGCUAACUCCGUGCCAGCAGCCGCGGUAAUACGGAGGAUCCAAGCGUUAUCCGGAAUCAUUGGGUUUAAAGGGUCCGUAGGCGGUUUAGUAAGUCAGUGGUGAAAGCCCAUCGCUCAACGGUGGAACGGCCAUUGAUACUGCUAGACUUGAAUUAUUAGGAAGUAACUAGAAUAUGUAGUGUAGCGGUGAAAUGCUUAGAGAUUACAUGGAAUACCAAUUGCGAAGGCAGGUUACUACUAAUUGAUUGACGCUGAUGGACGAAAGCGUGGGUAGCGAACA